RNAcentral lists this ribosomal RNA (450 nucleotides) under uncultured bacterium. Its description in RNAcentral is "partial 16S ribosomal RNA". It matches the Rfam family "Bacterial small subunit ribosomal RNA", at positions 338 to 795 of the family's 1533-position model. The record is from RNAcentral.
CCUACGGGAGGCUGCAGUGAGGAAUAUUGGGCAAUGCCCGCAAGGGUGAUCCAGCAACGCCGCGUGGAGGAUGAAGGCCGUAAGGUUGUAAACUCCUGUUAGAGGAGAAGAAUAGUACCGAUUGGAUCGGUAUUUGACUGUACCCUCAGAGAAAGCCCCGGCUAACUACGUGCCAGCAGCCGCGGUAAUACGUAGGGUGCAAGCGUUGUCCGGAUUUAAUGGGUGGAAGGGGGGAUAAGGCGGGAGAGCAGAAAUCCUACAGCUUAACUGUAGAACUGCCGUUGAUACUGUUAUUCUUGAGUUCGGGAGAGGGAGACGGAAUUCCAGGUGUAGUGGUGAAAUACGUAGAUAUCUGGAAGAACACCAGUUGCGAAGGCGGUCUCUUGGUCCGAUACUGACGCUGAGGCGCGAAAGCGUGGGGAGCAAACAGGAUUAGAUACCCCGGUAGUC